RNAcentral lists this ribosomal RNA (401 nucleotides) under Serratia sp. NF68. RNAcentral's name for it is "bacterial SSU rRNA". It matches the Rfam family "Bacterial small subunit ribosomal RNA", at positions 989 to 1393 of the family's 1533-position model. Lineage: Bacteria; Pseudomonadati; Pseudomonadota; Gammaproteobacteria; Enterobacterales; Yersiniaceae. The record is from RNAcentral.
CAGACUUUCCAGAGAUGGAUUGGUGCCUUCGGGAACUCUGAGACAGGUGCUGCAUGGCUGUCGUCAGCUCGUGUUGUGAAAUGUUGGGUUAAGUCCCGCAACGAGCGCAACCCUUAUCCUUUGUUGCCAGCGGUUCGGCCGGGAACUCAAAGGAGACUGCCAGUGAUAAACUGGAGGAAGGUGGGGAUGACGUCAAGUCAUCAUGGCCCUUACGAGUAGGGCUACACACGUGCUACAAUGGCAUAUACAAAGAGAAGCGACCUCGCGAGAGCAAGCGGACCUCAUAAAGUAUGUCGUAGUCCGGAUUGGAGUCUGCAACUCGACUCCAUGAAGUCGGAAUCGCUAGUAAUCGUAGAUCAGAAUGCUACGGUGAAUACGUUCCCGGGUCUUGUACACACCGA